Molecule: ribosomal RNA, 468 nt
Filed under: uncultured bacterium
Lineage: Bacteria
Description: partial 16S ribosomal RNA
Rfam family: Bacterial small subunit ribosomal RNA
Source: RNAcentral
GACGAACGCUGGCGGCGUGCUUAACACAUGCAAGUCGAACGGAAAGGCCCUGCUUUUGUGGGGUGCUCGAGUGGCGAACGGGUGAGUAACACGUGAGUAACCUGCCCUUGACUUUGGGAUAACUUCAGGAAACUGGGGCUAAUACCGGAUAGGAGCUCCUGCUGCAUGGUGGGGGUUGGAAAGUUUCGGCGGUUGGGGAUGGACUCGCGGCUUAUCAGCUUGUUGGGGGGGUAGUGGCUUACCAAGGCUUUGACUGGUAGCCGGCCUGGGAGGGGGACCGGCCACAUUGGGCCUGAGAUACGGCCCAGACUCCUACGGGCGGCAGCAGUGGGGAAUAUUGCACAAUGGGGGGAAGUCUGAUGCAGCAACGCCCCGUGCGGGAUGCCGGCUUUCGGGUUGUAAACCGCUUUCGCCUGUGCCGAAGCGUGAGUGACGGUAAUGGGUAAAGAAGCACCGGCUAACUACGUG